Molecule: ribosomal RNA, 253 nt
Filed under: uncultured bacterium
Lineage: Bacteria
Description: partial 16S ribosomal RNA
Rfam family: Bacterial small subunit ribosomal RNA
Source: RNAcentral
UACGAAGGGGGCUAGCGUUGUUCGGAUUUACUGGGCGUAAAGCGCACGUAGGCGGAUUGCUAAGUCAGGGGUGAAAUCCUGGAGCUCAACUCCAGAACUGCCUUUGAUACUGAGGAUCUUGAGUUCGGGAGAGGUGAGUGGAACUGCGAGUGUAGAGGUGAAAUUCGUAGAUAUUCGCAAGAACACCAGUGGCGAAGGCGGCUCACUGGCCCGAUACUGACGCUGAGGCACGAAAGCGUGGGGAGCAAACAGG